GGAGGGUCCAGCUGCAGUCGGCCAAGGAGAACAGUUGAUCAACCGUGUGAGUUGCAGAUUUCUGCACACCUGCUUCUUCUGCGGCGGUGCUCACACCCGGUCCUCCUGUCCACACAACUCCACCUGACUAGCACGCCACCUGGCCACGCCCAUUAAGAAAUUCAGGGCAUUGGUGCCUACAGCAGACCCUCAUCCGACACCGGUCCCUCCGUUUUCAGCCACAAUCUUCAAGUGACUCCGCAGCUUGCUGGCCUCUCCCACGUUUCACAACAAGCCAUCCUCAACAGCCUCGCCCUUCGUACCCUCUCGGCAUAUCUGACAGGCUGGCUCAGCAUCAAAUCAUACCACGUAACGUACAAUUUACCUUUUCCCACUCUCCAUACCAUGUCCAUCUGUCAUUUCAUCACCCAUUCACAUUCCAUUCUUCGAAUUCGCAUUUCCACCAUCCGAACCUACCUUUCAGGUAUCAAUUUUUUUCUUUAAGCUGGCCACAGGCAACUCCUGUCCAGC
Molecule: long non-coding RNA, 510 nt
Organism: Austrofundulus limnaeus
Lineage: Eukaryota; Metazoa; Chordata; Actinopteri; Cyprinodontiformes; Rivulidae
Exons: 3
Source: RefSeq, a predicted model, not a curated record